Molecule: ribosomal RNA, 253 nt
Filed under: uncultured bacterium
Lineage: Bacteria
Description: partial 16S ribosomal RNA
Rfam family: Bacterial small subunit ribosomal RNA
Source: RNAcentral
UACAGAGGUCUCAACCGUUGUUCGGAUUCAUUGGGCGUAAAGGGUGCGUAGGCGGCUUUGUAAGUCAGUGGUGAAAUAUGGCAGCUCAACUGUCAAGGUGCCAUUGAUACUGCGGAGCUUGAGUACAGAUGAGGUAGGCGGAAUUGACGGUGUAGCGGUGAAAUGCUUAGAUAUCGUCAAGAACACCUAUAGCGAAGGCAGCUUACUAGGCUGUAACUGACGCUGAGGAACGAAAGCCAGGGUAGCGAAAGGG